RNAcentral lists this ribosomal RNA (469 nucleotides) under uncultured bacterium. RNAcentral describes it as "partial 16S ribosomal RNA". It matches the Rfam family "Bacterial small subunit ribosomal RNA", at positions 28 to 507 of the family's 1533-position model. The record is from RNAcentral.
GACGAACGCUGGCGGCGUGCUUAACACAUGCAAGUCGAACGGAAAGGCCCUGCUUGCCGGGUGCUCGAGUGGCGAACGGGUGAGUAACACGUGGGUGAUCUGCCCCUUACUUUGGGAUAAGCCUGGGAAACUGGGUCUAAUACUGGAUAGGACCAUGCUGUAGGUGGUGUGGUGGAAAGAUUAGUUUCGGUAAGGGAUGAGCUCGCGGCCUAUCAGCUUGUUGGUGGGGUAAUGGCCUACCAAGGCGUCGACGGGUAGCCGGCCUGAGAGGGUGGACGGCCACAUUGGGACUGAGAUACGGCCCAGACGCCUACGGGAGGCAGCAGUGGGGAAUAUUGCACAAUGGGCGCAAGCCUGAUGCAGCGACGCCGCGUGGGGGAUGACGGCCUUCGGGUUGUAAACUCCUUUCAGCCAUGACGAAGCCCUUGUGGUGACGGUAGUGGUAGAAGAAGCACCGGCUAACUACGUG